GAAUCAACGCUGGCGGCAUGCCUAACACAUGCAAGUCGAACGCGGUUAGUAGCAAUACUAACUGAGUGGCGAACGGGUGAGUAACGCGUGGGUGACCUACCUCCGAGUGGGGGAUAACGUCCCGAAAGGGACGCUAAUACCGCAUGACAUCCUGCCCUUGAACGGGUGGAGAUCAAAGCUGGGGAUCGCAAGACCCGGCGCUUGAAGAGGGGCCCGCGUCCGAUUAGCUAGUUGGUGAGGUAACGGCUCACCAAGGCGACGAUCGGUAUCCGGCCUGAGAGGGCGGACGGACACAUUGGGACUGAGAACACGGCCGAGAUUCG
RNAcentral lists this ribosomal RNA (323 nucleotides) under uncultured bacterium. RNAcentral's name for it is "bacterial SSU rRNA". It matches the Rfam family "Bacterial small subunit ribosomal RNA", at positions 27 to 339 of the family's 1533-position model. The record is from RNAcentral.